Coffea arabica (coffee) is the source of this 3453-nucleotide non-coding RNA. The record is from RefSeq and is a predicted model, not a curated record. Lineage: Eukaryota; Viridiplantae; Streptophyta; Magnoliopsida; Gentianales; Rubiaceae.
CCUUUAAAUCUUUCAUAAAUCCUACACCGAAAAUAUAAUAAAAGGCAGAAGAAAAACUCGAUGGUGUGGGAUAAUAUAUAUAGAGAUAACAAUAAUUGAUCAUCACUACCAAAAAAAAAAAAAAAAAGAAAAGAAAUUUGGGUGAUUUGUAGUUUAGUUGUUGGUGGUUUCCUUGAUCAACAGCUGCCAACUUUUUUUUUGUCUCCAAUUUGUGUUUGUGUUCCCAUCUUACCCCUCCCCUGUUUCUUCUGCCCAGUUUCCGUCCUCGAUGGACUUAGACAAACCCUAAUCCCAACUGAAAUAACCGUUCAUGGAAGAAUCCGAAUUGCUGGCUUUCUACUUUGUACUUUACUCGAUCUGAAAAAAAUCACAUUUUUUUUGAUGCCGGGUUGAUUUUGGAAAUCCCCAAGCAACCACUCCCUCAACUGCUUCAACAAUUUUGACACUGUUCUUGUGAUUUUUUGAUGGCCGGAAGCUGGGAUGGAGGUAAUGACCUGGCAAGCCAGUCAGAUGAUAGCUACCAUUUUGACAGACUACAUAUAGAGCCCAUCUAUGAUGCAUUCCUAUGCCCUUUGACAAAACAGGUAAUGCGGGAUCCUGUAACACUGGAGAAUGGGCAAACUUUUGAGAGAGAAGCCAUUGAAAAAUGGUUCAAACAAUGUAAAGAGUCUGGAAGAAGGCUAGUUUGCCCAUUAACUCAAAGAGAGUUACGGAGCACAGAACUGAAUCCAAGUAUAGCCUUGCGGAACACAAUUGAAGAAUGGAAUGCUAGGAAUGAAGCUGUUCAACUUGAUAUGGCUCGGAGAUCAUUGACUUCGGGCAGCUCAGAGCAAGAUAUUUUGCAGGCUUUGAAGUUUAUCCAAUAUAUAUGUCAACAAAGCCGAUCAAAUAAGCAUGUAAUCCGUAAUGAAGAGAUGAUACCUAUGAUUAUUGAUAUGUUAAAGAGUAGCUUUCGAAGAACUCGGUUGAAAGCUUUGGAAACUCUUCGAAUUGUGGUUGAAGAAGAUUCUGACAAUAAGGAAAUAAUGGCUCAAGGGGACACUGUACGCACAGUUGUGAAGUUAUUGUCUAAUGAACAAUCAAAAGAAAGAGAAGAAGCGGUUCUUCUGCUAUAUGAGCUCUCCAAAUCUGAAGCUUUAUGUGAAAAGAUUGGUUCAGUUAAUGGAGCAAUUCUCAUUUUAGUAGGAAUGGCAAGCAGCACGUCGGAGAACAUUGUGGCUGUUGAGAUGGCGGAUAAAACUCUGGAGAAUCUGGGAAAAUCUGAGAAUAAUGUCAGACAAAUGGCUGAAAAUGGUAGAUUGCAGCCUUUACUGAGACUACUGCUUGAAGGAUCUUCAGAAACCAAACUAUCUAUGGCUGAAUUUCUUGGUGACUUGGUUCUUAACAAUGAUGUGAAAGUCUUGGUGGCUAGAACAGUUGGGUUAUCACUGAUCAACAUCUUGAAGAGUGGUAAUAUCCAAUCAAGAGAGGCUGCCUUGAAAGCUCUAAAUCAAAUGUCAUCACACGAUGCAAGUGCCAGAAUCUUAAUAGAGGCUGGUAUACUUCCCCCCCUGGUCAAGGAUCUCUUCACUGUUGGUGCCCACCAACUGCCCAUGCGACUGAAGGAAGUAUCUGCAACAAUCCUUGCUAAUGUUGUGAGUUCAGGAUAUGACUUUGACUCUGUUCCCGUUGGACCUGAACAACAAACUCUGGUUUCAGAGGACAUCAUUCAUAAUCUCCUCCAUCUUAUAAGCAACACUGGCCCUGCCAUAGAGUGUAAGCUUCUUCAGGUGCUUGUUGGGCUGACUAACUCUCCGAUUACUAUUUCUAGUGUUGUUUCUGCAAUUAAAAGCUCUGGUGCCACAAUAAGUUUGGUACAGUUUAUUGAAGCUCCACAAAAAGAUUUAAGACUGGCUUCCAUAAAACUUCUCCAGAACCUUUCUCCAUAUAUGGGUCCAGAACUAGCUAGUUGCUUACGUGGAACAUCUGGCCAGCUUGGUAGCCUAAUCAAAAUCAUAUCAGAAAAUAUUGGUAUAACUGAGGAACAAGCUGCUGCUGUUGGGCUUUUAGCUGAUCUUCCUGAAAGGGAUAUGGGUCUUACACGGCAGAUGCUAGAUGAAGGUGCAUUCCAGCUGGUUAACUCAAGAAUUCUUAGGAUCCGGCAGAGGGAGACUAGAGGUAGUCGCUUUAUGACUCCUUACCUAGAAGGUCUGGUUAAGGUUUUGUCAAGGGUCACGUUUGCCUUGGCUGAUGAGCUGGAUGCCAUUGCCCUUUGUCGGAACCACAAUCUUGCAGCUGUCUUCAUAGAACUUUUACAGACCAAUGGGCUUGACAAUGUUCAGAUGGUUUCUGCAUUGGCUUUGGAAAACUUAUCUCAAGAAUCAAAAAACUUGACCAAAUUGCCCGAAUUGCCAAGUCCUGGGUUUUGUGUCUCGAUUUUCCCCUGUUUAGGCAAGCCGACUAUCAUAACUGGAUUGUGUACAGUACACAGGGGAACAUGUUCGCUCAAAGAAACCUUUUGUCUCCUGGAAGGACAAGCUGUGGGGAAGCUAGUUGCCCUCCUAGACCACACCAAUGAAAAGGUGGUUGAGGCUUCUCUUGCAGCAUUGUGCACCUUGUUGGAUGAUGGGGUUGACAUUGAACAAGGGGUUCAUGUAUUGUGCGAGGCAGAAGGGAUCAGGCCUAUACUUGAUGUGUUACUGGAGAAACGGACAGAGAACCUGAGGAGGAGGGCUGUUUGGGCAGUUGAGCGAAUUUUGCGCUCUGAUGAUAUAGCCUAUGAAAUUUCUGGUGACCCUAAUGUAAGUACUGCACUUGUGGAUGCUUUCCAGCAUGGUGAUUAUCGGACACGCCAGAUUGCCGAGCGAGCCCUGAAGCACGUGGAUAAGAUUCCAAACUUCUCUGGUGUCUUUCCAAAUGUAGGAUAAACACACAUGUAGGUUUGGCUGAUGAUUGUCAGGGAUUUGGCAUGCAUGUUGUCGUAGAGUUUUUCUUUAAGCAUCAUAGAAUGCAGAUUUUAGUCUUCAAAUGGACAAUAUAUUUGUACUUAUAUAGAAGUUGGAAUGUAAGAUUAUUUUUUGUAUGAUUGUCGUUCAAUAAAGAAUUAUUGUUGAGGGGAAGACCUCCGUUCCUUUUUUGUGUUAAUCUGCUGAUCUCAGGGACCUCUUGUGGACAAAUGGCUUUCGUUUGGAUCCUGCAUCAUUUAGUUCAUGCUAAGGGGGGUUACCACAUAUCUGAUACCAUACAUAGCAGUUAAAGAUUUGCAAGAUCGGACUGAGGCCUAUGAUCUGCCUUGACCGGAAGGACACACCUCAUCUCGCGUAGGUCUAGGAUGCUGUCAAUUGAAACAGGGCUAGAUAUCAAAAUUUUGUGUUGGGGACUUGCUGAGCCAUUGCAAUGUCUUUUGCUUAUUAGAACAUUAAAUUGAUACGUUAUGCUUCUCAUUUCAAUAAGAAAAGUUGUUUUUGCACCUUA